AUUCUGCCCAUGCGGGGAAGGAUGAGAAGCUUCGAUCAAGGUUCGACUCGAGCGCCAGCGAGAGAGCGUUGCCGCAGGCAACGACCCGAAGGGCGAAGCGCGCAGCGCUGAGUAAUCCUUCCCCCACCACCA
Molecule: small RNA, 132 nt
Filed under: Escherichia coli
Lineage: Bacteria; Pseudomonadati; Pseudomonadota; Gammaproteobacteria; Enterobacterales; Enterobacteriaceae
Also listed under: 1 other name
Description: RtT sRNA
Rfam family: RtT RNA
About the family: This family represents a bacterial cis-regulatory element known as RtT RNA.
Source: RNAcentral